AAGAUAUGUAGUACAUUUACUAAGUUUUAUGUUAUAUGUAACAUUAAAAGCACUUGAGGAACUACAAUCUAAUAAUAAUAAUCUAGUACAUUAACUUUUUUUUUGGUACUGGAGAUUGAACCCAGGGACACUACCACGGAGCUACAUUCCCAGCCCAUUUUAUUUUUUAUACUGAGUCAGGGUCUCACUAAGUUGCUGAGGUUGGCCUUGAACUUGGGAUUCUGCUGUCUCAACCUAUGGGGUGUCUAGGAUCACAGGUGUGUGCCAACACUCCUGGCUCCUGAUCCAUUAAUUCUUUUUUUUUUAAAUUGUAAAUGGACAGAAUUACUUUAUGUAUGUAUAUAUUUUUAUGUGGUGCUGAGGAUCAAACCCAGUGCCUCACACAUGCUAGGCAAGUGCUCUGCCACUGAGCCACAACCGCAGCCCUGUGAUACAUCAAUUCUUAAUCAACACUCCUAAAGGUUAUUUCUUUGCAUUUCUCUCUUUGUCUGUUAAACAAUGCUUAUGUAUCAUAAAUUUGUUUCUGAUUUUUUAAUUCUACAUAUUUAAAGUGACUCUACAAUGACAGCUUAGUCUGUAAAUAUGAAUAAAAACGUGGGUAGAACUAGGCUGGGUGGAAUGAAAGAGCAAGCUAUUUUCAAUUUGAGUGCAAGGGCUAACUUGAAAAUACAAAUUGCAGGUCAUCAUUGUUGAAACAGCUAAAAGGAGCCGCAGACCAUUUUCUUUAGCCGCCAAAGCCAGAGCAAGUGGGAAGAAGACCUUUGCCCUCGGGACUGUUUUGUUUCUGUGUCCCACCCCAAACUCACCCCAAAUGAGAAACAGACCUCGGGGCUGUACCAGCAUUAUUUUAAGCCACGUGAAUGCACACAAGUGACUCAAGUGACUUUGGUUUGGUUUUGUUUUUGUGGCAGCGUAAAUUAACAAGGUGUCAAAUGAACAUCGUGGAGAAUCCACAGGCUCAGCUGGUCCUGGGGACGCCGCUGGCCUGCCUCCGAGGGCCAUCUGGUAAGAGCAUUUCCACGCUCCGCGGUCACCCGGCCUUGGUCUCCGGCGGCCCCCUACCCACUGGUCAUAUUGGCGACCUCUGCUUCCUCCCGAGUGUGGAGAAUCUGCCAUAAAGAAAGCGCGCGCUCAGCUGCAGAUUUUCUGGGCGCAGCGCUGCCCUGGUUUUGGAAGGCGCGCCUCUCCGUCUCCCCUGGGCAUGUGGAACAGCCGAAUGCAAGAGUGAAAACUGCCAAAAUGCUAAUCACGAUGAGAGAAAAAAAUAAAUAACACCAUCCAGAUGGGACAAAGUGGGCAUAUUUCAAGUAUCCUGGGGAACUGUGCAGUAUAUCAUUCGUGAUGCGUGGCACACCGCGCCACGGCCCUUCACAAACACACACUGCCCGGGCGUAUGCCUGCGGGGACAGGCGGAGCCGGCCGUAAAUCUGAGGGGGCCCUUCGCCCAGCUUUGCGCUCAGGCUGCGGCUGAUUCAGCGGGAUCCGGGCUGCAGUCUGCUCCCUUGGCUGCCCAUCAACUCUGCGGCUCACCCCACGGGGCAGAAUCCCAGCGGGCGAAUUCACCCCAGUGAAACUCAGAUGCUUUUCACAGCAAGGAAACUGCUGCUUUGAACGGGCCUCUGCUGCGCUGGGGAGCCACGUGCCAGGUGGCAAGGUUCCCCCAGGCCCCAGAAGGUGUCCUGGGGCUGCAGGGGCUGAGCAGGUUUGGGGUUUCCACACUCAGUUCUUACCCUCCGUCCAUCUCUGCUGAUUCGGGAGAGCGCCUGGGAUCCACUUUGCAACAAUAAAUUCAGGGGAUCUGAACAGUGGCACCAAGACACACGCUCCGGGAAACACUGAAAUCCACGAAUUACUAGGGAACUGUUUCCGUGAGUGUGGAAGAUAUUCCUCUGCAAAGAAUAUUUGUUUUUCAAUUGGCAUAUAAUAAAUGUCCCUAUUUAAGAGGCAGCAUGUGAUGUUUCAAUUCAUGCAUACCUUAUGUACUGUUCAAAUCAGGGUAAACAUCUACCUUCUCAAACAUUUAUCCUUAUAUUUGUGCUGGAAACAUUCAGAAUCCUUUCAUCUAGGUUUUUUGAAAUAUGCUGUGCAUUAUCUCUAAUAAUCUAUAAUCAUGCUCCAGUGUGACAGAACACUGAAGCAUACGUCUCUCUAGUUGUUUCUCGGUGCCCACUUGGAAGAUGUUUCUAAGAGUUAUUAUUCCUUCAGCUUUGUUCAGGCAGAACAUGGUCCUCCAUGAUAAGGAAUGUCAGUGUAAUGCCACAGAAUAUGACCCACCACAGGAGUAGAAGUACAGUGUGUUGAAAACCUUUAUGUGCCUUAAAAAACACUGUGCAUAAAGAGGUGUUUUUAAAUGAAGUCACUAAUAUGUGUGUGAUAUGGUAAAUGUUGAUAAUAUAUUAAAAUAUAUAUCAAUCAAAUGACAUAGUUUAAUUUUGUGAAGGAUAGAUAGCAGGACACCACGGUACCUAUGUGUACAUUCAUAUGAAAUUGUCUUAAGUCUCAGCAAACAGAGCAUGAUGAUCAUAUGGCACCAUGGUGUGUCCCUUUAACAUCAGUCUCUUUUAGCUUUUUUAGGUUGGUGUUGUCUUAGAAUUUUUUAUUAGCUAUUAUCAUAAUUCACCAUAGUAAAGCCAAAAUCAAGUCUUGUACCUCAUACAGACAAGAGUUGGAAAAAAUGAGACAGGAAUUGCCUCACAUCAUCCUUUAAGGGUUUGAAAUCAAGUUCCCAAAAGCUCUAAGAUGUAAGAAAUAAUAUCUUUUAAUUUUCCAUGCACUAAAUUAACUCCUACUUUGUGCCUAUAUCUUUGGGUAGAAAAAGCAAACUGCAGUCCAGUUAGUUUCCCUGAGCCCUUUCCUCUGAGUGGCUUUUCUGUUGAAGACCUUCUGUGGGACCGUGCAGGGGUUGGGAGCUGCCAUUCUUGGUUACCAUCACCAGGGGCUGGCAGCGGCUGAGCUGUAUUUCUGCCUGCUCCCUAGACUUCAACCCACCCAGGGAGCUGGGGCUGUGUCCUUUGUAUCCCACUGAGUUCCAGUCCCAGCUCUCUCCCUACGGUUGCCAUCCACCUGUGAGGGCCUGCCAAGGUUUGGCUGCUUUCCGUCACUGGGCUGGGACCUGGGAAACCCUGAACUCUCCUGGGCUAUGAAAAGCCCCUUGAAACUUCUUCAUUCCUCCAGGGUGUACAGGAAAUCCUUCCCAUAAAUGUGCAGAACUAGUCAGUUUCCUAGAAUGCUCUCUGGCUGGAGAAUACAAUUCUGUGCUUUUGGACUUCUAAACCAAUCUGGGAAUUCCAGUAUUCUCCUCAUCUCAAAUGGGCUCUGAGAAAGAGGACACGGUACAGGGAGGGACCUUCUCACACAUUUUUCUCUGUUUUUCUUCUUCAUUUUUUUCUAUUCUUCCUACCAUCCUCCCAUCUGGGAAUUUUACCUAAAGUCUAGGAGUUAAAAACAUGUCCCUGAGGUUGUGUUCUAGUACUCUUUCAAGUCUCUUUUCUUCUUAAGUCUUGGCUUUUGGUUUGACUUGGUUUGGAAAGUCAAAAGCAAGCUCUUGCCCCGUGAUCCUCAGCCUUGGGCCUCUGCUAAGGUGAGCUGGAAGGGGCGCCUGU
RNAcentral lists this long non-coding RNA (3602 nucleotides) under Marmota monax (woodchuck). The record is from RNAcentral. Lineage: Eukaryota; Metazoa; Chordata; Mammalia; Rodentia; Sciuridae.